GGGUGGGUGACCCAGGACAAUGAAGCAGCCUGGGGACUGGAUGCUCCUCCUCCUUUGAUGGUUAAGAACACGUGACAGUGCUCAGGAACUGGGGAGAGGCCUCCUGGCGUGAAUGAGAGCACAGAGACACUGGAGGGGCUCUGGAGUCAGCACACCAAGCGAGCGGCACCUCACGCCUCCGAACCUCAGUUUCUUCCCCAGCAGAAUAAGACUCUGACGCCUGCCUGGAGGAAAGUGGGGAGUUUCUUCCUGUGAUGAACCAAUGGCUGAGCCCUCUGAGGACUCCCUGAAUCCUCUCCUGGAAGAAUUCUGGAAAAAGGGGGUCUCCUGAGGCAGGUGGGGAUGUCCUUGGCCAAAGGAAGGGAGGACUGAGGAUUUCCUAGGAUCUCACCUGUCGGUUAUUUCUGCAGCCCAGCCCUCCUCUCAUUCUGAUGGGUCCUGGUGAAGCUGUCAAUCCAGGUGGGCCUGUGGGCACCUGGCUGGGAUAAGCCAAUCAGAGCCUGCACUCAUUCCUGCAGCAGCAGUGGUGGGCUUGUGACCAGGCAAAGCCACUCCCAUCCCUGUGGAACGCAAGCUGCAGGUGGGCAGGGACUUGUCCAGUGGCAGGGUUCUGAAUAUACUCACUGGUUUCUCAGGCGAAUCUGAUGGAGUCAGUCGCCAGGCGCGUGGUGCUGCCGUGGGGCUGACCUCAGGGACCUGGGCUACGACUGGCCAAGCAGGAUCUUGUGUAUGUUAGAAAUGGGGGACUCCUCCUGGCAGAUGAAUUAGGGAAAUGUCCCUCUGGGUCAAAACUUCCUUGUACCAGGGCACGAAGGGUGACAAGCAGAGCCCUGGGGAUGUUUCAGCUCCUACUCUGCCUCUCAGUGGGGGCCUUGGAGUAGUGCCCAGACGCCAACAAUGUCUCAAAAUUAAAAUGUCUCAAAAUUAAAAAAUAAAAAGGGCUGAGGAUGUGGCUCAGUGGUUAAGCGCCCCUGGGUUCCAUCCCUGGUACAAAAACAAACACACAAACAAAAACCUCUGCAGUCUAUAGGAUCGGGGCUCACCUUCAAAGAACGAGACCUGAUUCUAGAUCUAACAUCUAUUCUCCGAGACGGCCGGGCUGGGUUUGGAUCCAGCUCAUCACUUACCACCUCUGUUAUCUGGGGCAGUUACCUAACGCCCUGGGCCUCAGCUUUCUCGAUGGAGAAUGGGGACAGUGGCAGGACCUGCUCCAAGAGAUCAUAAGCACACGAGGACCAGCAUGAUUAGUGUGUGAAGGCAGCGAGUCUCGUGGUGUGGAGUCAUAACUUCCAGGUGCUCUUGAGGAAGUCCUUCUCCUCUGGAGAAUGGGAAUAGGAGUCCCGAGUGCAGAAGGCUGCUAGGAGGGCCAGGUGAGGUGGCUGGCAGGCGGGCGGCGUUCAGUGUUAGAUGAACCUAAAGCUUCCUUUGUUUCUCUGGAACCUUUGAGCUCAGUUCUCCUCCUGCCAGAGCCCAGUGGAGACAGGCCAUCACUUCAGCUAGAAGCCGGACCAGGAGGAAAUAAAUCCUCGUGCAUAUGAUUCCUGAGUGAAAGUCCCCUGGGAUGCUGCUGGCGAGGGGCCCACGAUGCACUACAGGGGCUCACUUCCUGCUGCCUCCCGCCUGCUCCCUGCUCCUGGCUUGCUCGCUCCCAGGGGACAAGGCAAGGGGAGUGGAAAGGAAAUUGAAAAGGCUUUGAUUUGCUGGGAGCCUGUCUGGCUGGGGAACCACUGAGUCCUAAAGCCCAGGCUGCCACUCCUGGUUCUGUGGGUCUUCUCUGCUGAUCCUGUAGUUAGUCUGGGGAGCAUUUGGGGCAUCCCUGGGGGACGGUCUCAGGAGGAUGAGAAGGCCAGGUGGGAGCACUGAGGCAGGCAGCAACGCAGAGGGAACCACCCCAGUGGACCCCUAAUCUGGAGGAGCAGCGGGGUCCCACCUGACCCUGACCUCCUGUCCUGACACAGCCUCUGGGCUCCCCUUGGGCUCCCCAGUGCAAGCCACAAUCCACAGCCAGCCAGCCCGGCCCAUGACAGCCUUGUAACUGCAGCACAGGACCCGGAGGAGCGAGUUUCCCCAUCUUUAAAAUGGGAAUAAGCCAUGUUGGCCAAGUCUACCUAGGAGAGAGCAUGAAGGACAUCCAGAUGCGGACGCCAACCAGGAACCUGUUUGCUGUCAUAAAAGCAGACUCCUGGCUUGGAGGUGCCUGGGAAGGGGAGGGCCUCUGGUGGCGUCCCAGUCCCAGGAGGCUUCCUCUCCAGCUCCUGCUGCAGUUUCCAUCCGAGCACAUCACUCUUGGCCCAGCACCGGUGUCAGCUCGGCAUGGAGAGGAGAGCCAAGCGCCCCGGUAGCUGCUGGGAAAUCCUAUAAGAGCGCUUCUCCAUUUCCCUAAUUUUCAGAGAUGGAGACCUCCGCUUCCAGCCUAAAUCUACUUCCUAGGACUUGAGCCGUCACCGAUGUGCAGCUAAUGGAAGGGUUAGGAGUGCGGAGUGUUGAUAAGCCCCCCCUGCUGCCGCUCCAGCUGCAGAGCCGCGGGCCUUUGAAGCAGAGCAGGACCCUCUAAGGCGGAUCACUUACCACCUCCCCUCCUGGAGGGGGAAGGAAGCCGGCCACCGCCUCCUCCUCCCCACGCACCCCUCCUGCUUCCAGCUGUCCUUCAGGGAGACGGGGAGGUGGGGUCCAGGCUGGCACACGCUUCCAGAAGUCCCACAAGAAGGAGGCCUGGACGUGAUGGUGACGAGGGAUGCACAACAGAGGGACGGUGCCGAGGGCCCCUAAAUGUACUCUUACCAGGGGCUAAAAUGACACUUUGUUAUGUACACAUUAACAUCUUUGAUAAUUUUUAAAAUUAAAACAAAGAAGACCGGGCUGGGGAUGUGGCUCAAGCGGUAACGCGCUCGCCUGGCAUGCAC
Non-coding RNA from Ictidomys tridecemlineatus (thirteen-lined ground squirrel), 2903 nucleotides. Lineage: Eukaryota; Metazoa; Chordata; Mammalia; Rodentia; Sciuridae. The record is from RefSeq and is a predicted model, not a curated record.